GUAUAUCAGCUCGUGUCCUGGUGUGUGUGUGUAGUGAAGUGGAAGCGAUCAGGAGAAGACUCUCCAAUGCUGUAAGCAACUACAGAGAGGAGAAGGAGCUCUGCUGGAGGACGGGCCGAUACCUGGAGAGAAGAUAACAAAGCUGUAUUAUCUCAGAGGGAAAGGUCAGAGAAUGAGGUCAGCUAUGCAGAAACUGAAGGAUCUAAGAAAGGAGCAACGAGAGUUAUAGAAGCAGCUGGAUACCAGGCAUGAAAAUGAACCUCUGCAAGCAACGUGAUCGUUUAUGCUGGUUUAAAAAAGUCUCCGUUACUCAGUGACACCUUUAACCAGUAACUGACUACUCGCUGAAACUACUCGCAGCACGCUGCAGUCUUUGAUGAGCAGAUCUCAGUUUCUAUAUUACACUGACUUUUCUCCCAUCUGUCCGUUCUUCACUGUCACAGAGCUGCACUGCGAUUCCAAGAGGAGUCCAGGAGAAACACAAACUAUGAUGCCACAAAUAAGAUACAACAUCACAACAUUUGGGCACAAAAUGAAAAGACAGAGAUGAGGUACUUAACCGCACAUCACACUAAAACAGGUCCCUUGUGCUUUGCUGAUUUGAGUAUUGUGUGUUUGUGCUUAGUUGGUGGUGUAACUGUGUCAAGGUCGUGUGGGGAGUAAAGUUAGGAGGCUUCCUCCUCGGUGUGCUCGUUUCGGUGGCCUCUGUCUGCGUCACUCCGCCUCCAACCUGCGGGAAUCCGACUGUGCAGCACACAGCGUCCAUCCUGUUUGUUAACAACUAACUGGAAUUCAUAUGAGUCUACACGCCACCUAACGCAGUAGCAUUAACAUCAGCCAGUAACGGGGCUCUCUCAUCUGUGGCUCUCUUCGUGCAGCGCUGUGUCGUUGCUUUCAAGUUAAAUAAAAGAGUAAAAAAUUGGAAAACUUAGACUUUGAAGGUUUCAUUUAUUUAUUUUG
Long non-coding RNA from Pundamilia nyererei, 960 nucleotides. RefSeq lists it as uncharacterized. The record is from RefSeq and is a predicted model, not a curated record. Lineage: Eukaryota; Metazoa; Chordata; Actinopteri; Cichliformes; Cichlidae. The transcript has 4 exons.